ACAUGGGCACCUACAGAUUUGGUGUCAGAAGUCCUUGCGCCCACCGCCUACAGAUUUGGUAUCAGAAGUGUUCGAACCAUCCAUUACAGCACUGGCCUACAGAUCAGGUAUCUGGAGUCGUCAACACCGCCGCUGCAGGACUGACACCACAGAGUUGCGGUCAGAACUGUCGACUCUAUGCAGACUUGUGGCACUGCCUAUCAAAUAUAAUUCAAGCUGAGGAGAUGAAAGACUUUGGUGAUGGAAGCCACAGGGCUUUAGUUCUCCACUAAGAAUAGGUGUGCUCGGUUGUCUUGGACACUCCUAAUGUCCCCUGUGACAGGUCAGCCUGCAGCGACAAAGUCAUUAGUAUCAGGGUGCACACCCACCUUCCAGGCAACGAGACCAGCAGCUCAUCAUCGACGAUGUUUUCUUUUUCUAUUGUGGUGGGCAUCCGCAUACUAUAAGCGCAGCCAACACACUAUGAGCACCACGUGCUGACGUCACGGGCACAGAGAAGACAUCACCUAUUGGCUGGAGACGCUGUGGCUCUGCUGUUACCACAACAGAAACAUUACAUCAUUGUGAGGCUAACAUCAGUACAGUCAGAAAUGUUUACCUGGCAUUUAAAACUGAUUUUUGUUUACAAUAAACAAAUUAUUUGAGCAACAUGAGAAUACUCAUUGAGA
Molecule: long non-coding RNA, 668 nt
Organism: Schistocerca piceifrons (Central American locust)
Lineage: Eukaryota; Metazoa; Arthropoda; Insecta; Orthoptera; Acrididae
Exons: 3
Source: RefSeq, a predicted model, not a curated record